GGUAACACUGUUUAUACUUUUUCUGCUUUAAUUAGUGCUUAUGGGAAAAGUGGUUAUUGGAAUGAUGCUUUUAAGGUUUUUUAUUCAAUGGAGGCUUAUGGGCUAAAGCCAAAUUUAGUCUCUUACAAUGCUGUGAUUGAUGCGUGUGCCAUAGGGGGUGUGGAGUUUAAGAAGGCAGUGGAGAUUUUUGAUGAGAUGUUUAAAAAUGGAGUGCAACCAGACCUAAUUACAUUUAAUUCGCUGCUUUCCGUGUGUAGUAGGGGAGGGCAAUGGGAGGC
RNAcentral lists this unclassified non-coding RNA (278 nucleotides) under Hevea brasiliensis (rubber tree). Lineage: Eukaryota; Viridiplantae; Streptophyta; Magnoliopsida; Malpighiales; Euphorbiaceae. The record is from RNAcentral.